This 71-nucleotide transfer RNA is filed under the name Marmota monax (woodchuck). RNAcentral's name for it is "tRNA.Thr". It matches the Rfam family "tRNA". Rfam says of the family: Transfer RNA (tRNA) molecules are approximately 80 nucleotides in length. Their secondary structure includes four short double-helical elements and three loops (D, anti-codon, and T loops). Further hydrogen bonds mediate the characteristic L-shaped molecular structure. tRNAs have two regions of fundamental functional importance: the anti-codon, which is responsible for specific mRNA codon recognition, and the 3' end, to which the tRNAs corresponding amino acid is attached (by aminoacyl-tRNA synthetases). tRNAs cope with the degeneracy of the genetic code in two manners: having more than one tRNA (with a specific anti-codon) for a particular amino acid; and 'wobble' base-pairing, i.e. permitting non-standard base-pairing at the 3rd anti-codon position. The record is from RNAcentral. Lineage: Eukaryota; Metazoa; Chordata; Mammalia; Rodentia; Sciuridae.
GGGGUUGUGGCUCAGUAGCAGAGUGCUUGCCUAGUGCACAUGAGGCACUGGGUUCGAUCCCCAGCACCACA